RNAcentral lists this ribosomal RNA (253 nucleotides) under uncultured bacterium. Its description in RNAcentral is "partial 16S ribosomal RNA". It matches the Rfam family "Bacterial small subunit ribosomal RNA", at positions 524 to 776 of the family's 1533-position model. The record is from RNAcentral.
GACGAACCAUGCAAACGUUAUUCGGAUUCACUGGGCGUAAAGGGUGCGCAGGCGGCCAAGUGUGUGAGGCGUGAAAGCCUGGGGCUUAACCCCAGAAUUGCACCUCAAACUACAUGGCUAGAGCAUUGGAGAGGGUAGCAGAAUUCAUGGUGUAGCAGUGAAAUGCGUAGAUAUCAUGAGGAAUACCAGAGGCGAAGGCGGCUACCUGGACAAUUGCUGACGCUCAGGCACGAAAGCGUGGGGAGCAAAAGGG